This 503-nucleotide ribosomal RNA is filed under the name uncultured bacterium. Its description in RNAcentral is "partial 16S ribosomal RNA". It matches the Rfam family "Bacterial small subunit ribosomal RNA", at positions 30 to 523 of the family's 1533-position model. The record is from RNAcentral.
AUUGAACGCUGGCGGCAGGCUUAACACAUGCAAGUCGAGCGGGGUGAUGGUGCUUGCACUAUCACUUAGCGGCGGACGGGUGAGUAAUGCUUAGGAAUCUGCCUAUUAGUGGGGGACAACAUCUCGAAAGGGAUGCUAAUACCGCAUACGUCCUACGGGAGAAAGCAGGGGAUCACUUGUGACCUUGCGCUAAUAGAUGAGCCUAAGUCGGAUUAGCUAGUUGGUGGGGUAAAGGCCUACCAAGGCGACGAUCUGUAGCGGGUCUGAGAGGAUGAUGCGGCACACUGGGACUGAGACACGGCCCAGACCCCUACGGGGGGCAGCAGUGGGGAAUAUUGGACAAUGGGGGGAACCCUGAUCCAGCCAUGCCGCGUGUGUGAAGAAGGCCUUAUGGUUGUAAAGCACUUUAAGCGAGGAGGAGGCUCUUUUGGUUAAUACCCAAGAUGAGUGGACGUUACUCGCAGAAUAAGCACCGGCUAACUCUGUGCCAGCCGCCGCCGUAA